GAUGAAGAACGCAGCGAAAUGUGAUAAGUAAUGUGAAUUGCAGAAUUCAGUGAAUCAUCGAAUCUUUGAACGCACAUUGCGCCCUCUGGUAUUCCGGGGGGCAUGCCUGUUCGAGCGUCAUUAUAACCACUCAAGCUCUCGCUUGGUAUUGGAGUUCGCGAUCUCGCGGCUCCUAAAAUCAGUGGCGGUGCCUGUCGGCUCUACGCGUAGUAAUACUCCUCGCGAUUGAGUCCGGUAGGUUUACUUGCCAGCAACCCCCAAUUUUUACAGGUUGACCUCGGAUCAGGUAGGGAUACCCGCUGAACUUAAGCAUAUCAAUAAGCGGAGGA
Molecule: unclassified non-coding RNA, 329 nt
Filed under: soil metagenome
Description: partial contains 5.8S ribosomal RNA, internal transcribed spacer 2, and large subunit ribosomal RNA
Rfam family: 5.8S ribosomal RNA (bases 1-120)
Source: RNAcentral